This is a long non-coding RNA of Aotus nancymaae (Ma's night monkey), 517 nucleotides long. The record is from Ensembl. NCBI's taxonomy places the organism in Eukaryota, Metazoa, Chordata, Mammalia, Primates, Aotidae.
GAGGGAUUAGAGGGAUAAAGUCACUGUCAGUCAGAAGAAACAAGAAUGUGGGCUGGACGUGCCACACUGGGGUCUUCUGAAAGUAGGCGCAGCAUCUGCAGCUCCUCAUACCCGGCCCAAAGGUUUUAUAAUAAUCAAGAAGCACAUGAAAAGGCCUCUUCAUCAAGCAUUCUUGACUAAGUUAUGAAAAUGGAAUUGAAGUUUAUUUUCCCCCUUCAUAUGGUAAGUCCAGCAGUGAGCAGAGUGUUCAGUUCUUCACUUCCAGCAAGCCAGGUCAGUGUCUUUGUGCAAACCAAUGACUAUAGAUUGGUGACAUCCUGUGUCUAAUUCUGAGCAUGCAUUUCAGAACAGGUUUCUUAAUCAUUUGUCUUUUUAAAAUGUUGUCUUUGACUUUCUUAUAUACUCAGUUAUGAAUGCCACAAGUUCAAUUAUUGUUAAAAUUAUUGCUUACUCUGUGAGUACAAUGGUACAAAUAUGGGCCUCAAACCGGUUUGUCCUUUAUACAACUUUUUAUUUU